UGUUCUAUUCACUGACUUAUUUGAUAAUGAGGAGGAAUAUGUUGGUGCGGAUGAUGAGCACAUCUAUAUGCCUGUGCCACCAUCAACUGCAGCAGCAUCCGAGCCUGAAUCUCAUGCACAACAAACUGAAUCUCAUGAAAAUAUCCCUGCUGCCGAAGGAGGUGAAGGAGGGGAAGGAGCUGAAGGAGGUGAAGGAGGGAAAAGAGGUUAAGGAGGUGGAGGAGGACCAGUUGAGGUAGAGGUAAAUGAUGCAGAUCCCCAGGAGUUCAAUGUGAUACAUGAUCCUGACCACCCAAAUAUUGAGAAGGUUUCAUUAUUUCCUGAUAUUGUGACAUUCAGAAAAGCAGUCAGGCAUUAUGCAGUGAAGAGGGGCUUUGAGUUCACUGACCUGAAGACAGAUAAGACCAGGUUCAUUGCCAAGUGUGCCCAUACAAAAUGUCCAUGGAGAAUACAUGCUUCUAGAGUUAAUGGUACCAAGACAAUUGAGAUAAAAGUCCUUCCUGCUGAGCACAAUUGCCCUACUACCAAACUGAGGGAAAGCAAAAUGACUACACAUGGGUGGGUUGCUGACAGACUGUCUGACUGGGUGAAGAAGAAUCCUGGCAAGGGUGCAAA
Molecule: long non-coding RNA, 615 nt
Organism: Panicum virgatum (switchgrass)
Lineage: Eukaryota; Viridiplantae; Streptophyta; Magnoliopsida; Poales; Poaceae
Exons: 2
Source: RefSeq, a predicted model, not a curated record